GCAACUGACUGCUUUGAAGGCUGGAGAGCAGCGGAGGGAUCACGACAAACAGGGAAAACUGGCUCUCGGAGAGAAACCGGCAUCAGACACAGGCGCUGAUUAAAUAAAAU
Molecule: non-coding RNA, 110 nt
Organism: Lonchura striata (white-rumped munia)
Lineage: Eukaryota; Metazoa; Chordata; Aves; Passeriformes; Estrildidae
Source: RefSeq, a predicted model, not a curated record